UACAGAGGGUGCGAGCGUUAAUCGGAAUUACUGGGCGUAAAGCGCGCGUAGGCGGCUUUGCAAGUCGGGUGUGAAAUCCCCGGGCUCAACCUGGGAACUGCAUCCGAGACUGCAUUGCUCGAGUAUGGGAGAGGGAAGUGGAAUUUCCGGUGUAGCGGUGAAAUGCGUAGAUAUCGGAAGGAGCAUCAGUGGCGAAGGCGACUUCCUGGACCAAUACUGACGCUCAGGUGCGAAAGCGUGGGGAGCAAACAGG
RNAcentral lists this ribosomal RNA (253 nucleotides) under uncultured bacterium. Its description in RNAcentral is "partial 16S ribosomal RNA". It matches the Rfam family "Bacterial small subunit ribosomal RNA", at positions 524 to 776 of the family's 1533-position model. The record is from RNAcentral.